GACCACUGAAUUCAAUGCAUGUUAUACGCCUUAGGGCUGUUGAAGAUCCCAAUGGAGAAAUAGCAUCUUUGAGAGAUGACACCAUGCUGCCUGGUUCUAAGGAAGUUCCAAAAAUACCUUCUUCUCUUCAGGUAAGGUAUCUGUGUUGGGUGAAAACAGCUACUUGUGUUGAUAUUUCAGAACAUCUUUUGGAGGCCUUUAACAUUGGCAAAUAUGAGUUUUGGAACUUUCUUUCAGAAGCAAAACAAGUUUUUUUUUUUUUGGUUGGUUGGUUGGUUGGUUUACUUGUUUUUUCUAUAAAUGUGUUAAGACUUAAGAUAUCACCAUUUAGCAUGUGUUGUUUGAUAUUCAUAAUCCUAACAGGUGCUAGCAAAUAUGGCUGCGAAUAG
Molecule: long non-coding RNA, 389 nt
Filed under: Anser cygnoides (Swan goose)
Lineage: Eukaryota; Metazoa; Chordata; Aves; Anseriformes; Anatidae
Description: lncRNA (ENSACDG00005007503.1)
Source: RNAcentral